Humulus lupulus (European hop) is the source of this 831-nucleotide long non-coding RNA. RefSeq lists it as uncharacterized. The record is from RefSeq and is a predicted model, not a curated record. NCBI's taxonomy places the organism in Eukaryota, Viridiplantae, Streptophyta, Magnoliopsida, Rosales, Cannabaceae. The transcript has 3 exons.
CGAUUUAAAUUAAUUUAUUUGGAAUAAUUGUGUAAUAUUUGUUUUAUUGUUAGUGUUACUUUCUUAUUUAGUGUGACAAAAUUAUGUGAUUAGAAUAUAUUGUAUUUUUUUUUAUUAAAUGUGUGUGUGCCGAAAUUAUGUGUACCUGUGUGUGGAUUUGUUUUAUUUUUUAUUUCUUUUAAAUUAAGAAGAUAAAAGGGAAACGAAAAAUGAGUUGUCAUCUUUUGGGAUAAGAUGACAAGGCUUAUCUUUUGAAUUGUGUUUACAUGUAGAUCAAGUUUAGGUGAGGUGUAAGGAGAAGAAAUAGUGGGAUUUAUCUUAUUUUGUGGGAUAAGAUUUGAGUUUUUCACACUUGGUUUUUCUUAGGGUUAGGUCACUAGAGUAUUAUAAAUACAAGACAUGUGAGCUUUGGAGAACCAUUUUGGUGGUUUUCCAAUUAUUGAGAGAAAGAGGGAAAGGAGAGCAAAAAAAAAAAAAGAGAGAGAAAGAAGGAGAAGAGGAAAGGGGUUUCAAGAAUCUCUAAUGUAUUUUGAAAUCCUUAGGUACUUAAUGAUUGAUUUGCUUUUUGUUCUUGAACACUACCAUGGAGGUAAGAGCAAGGGAAAGGUCGACCAACCAUGAGUACGAAGAGCGUGGAGCGAUGGGUACAUGUUCGGCCUGCCUGGCCGCCACGGCUAGGGUUAUUUUUGGGGAAAUGUACUGUAAUAGUUAUUUUUUCGCCUAAAUCGACCUUAAAUGUAUUAUAUGAUGUAAAGUAUUUUCUAAACAGAGUUUUUGGGAUCCCAACUGUAUAACUUUUUAUGUUUUCAAUGAAUAACCAAAUGUUUUGAA